RNAcentral lists this long non-coding RNA (758 nucleotides) under Triticum aestivum (bread wheat). Its description in RNAcentral is "long non-coding RNA (TAES_LNC018021)". Lineage: Eukaryota; Viridiplantae; Streptophyta; Magnoliopsida; Poales; Poaceae. The record is from RNAcentral.
AAACAAAAAAUGAAAUAGAAUCAUAUUUUUUAUUAUAGUAAGAAUAUUACAAUGUCUUUACAAGUAUCCAAUAAAAGGAAAAUUGCAACGAAAUAAAAGAAAAUCCUAAAACUAAUCUUCUAGUAAUCUUUUCUUCUUUUUCUUCACUUUAUCCCUGCAAAAUGUAACAAAAUAAACAGAAAGACAAACAAACUAUUUAUAACAUGUCAAUACUGUCAUUUUUUAUGCAGAACUAGAUAUGAGCAUAUAUUUCCAGAAUUACAUGGUGUGAAUAUUGUAUGAGUAAGAUUAUAAUGGAAAUGAAUUUUGAUAGGAGCCCACUUUCGACGAGUAUUUAUCCGACAGAGCUAAAUAAUCAGGGUAUUUACCUUUUGAUAAUAUUAUUAUACUAUACUACCAGUAUACUACUCCACUUGGAUUUUUUAGAUGAGCAGAUCUGAGAUAGACAUCUGUUCAAGUGGCUAUAGGUAGGCUUGAAGAAGUCUCAUCGGUUCAAGUGGCUACAGGUAGUUGCACAGCUGGAAUAUAGACUACUACUACUAUUUGAAAAGAAAACAAGAGCAAAUCUGAACGUACUAGUCAGAUCCGAUCACAUUGAGCUAGAAAGAAAAUUCAUCAGGAAACAGAUGGCCAGCGACUUACUUCCAGACGUUGAGGAUCUCGUUGUGCCCGGCGAAGACGCUGCAGAGCGCGUCGCGGACGGCUGCUCACAGCGAUAGCUGCCGCAGAUGAACUCGUUGUCCUGCAGGUAGUCCAGC